This 827-nucleotide small RNA is filed under the name Histoplasma ohiense. Its description in RNAcentral is "hypothetical lncRNA". Lineage: Eukaryota; Fungi; Ascomycota; Eurotiomycetes; Onygenales; Ajellomycetaceae. The record is from RNAcentral.
CUCGCUGCUAAGCUAUCGCUGCCAACCUAUCUAUCGCUGCCAACCUAUCUAUCGCUGCCAAUUUAUCUACCACUGCCAAUCUAUCUAUUGCUGCUAAUCUAUUGCUGCUGCCAAUCUAUCUAUCGCUGCUAAUCUAUUGCUGCUGCUAAUCUAUCUAUCGCUGCUAAUCUAUCGCUGCUAAUCUAUCGCUGCUAAUCUAUCGCCGCUGCCAAUCUAUCCCUCACUGCUAAGCUAUCCCUCGCUGCUAAGCUAUCACUGCCAAUCUAUCGCUGCUAAUCUAUCGCUGCCAACCUAUCUACCGCGGCGAAUCUAUCUAUCGCUGCCAAUUUAUCUACCACUGCCAAUUUAUCUACCACUGCCAAUCUAUCUACCACUGCCAAUCUAUCUAUUGCUGCUAAUCUAUUGCUGCUGCCAAUCUAUCUAUCGCUGCUAAUCUAUUGCUGCUGCUAAUCUAUCUAUCGCUGCUAAUCUAUCGCUGCUAAUCUAUCGCUGCUAAUCUAUCGCUGCUAAUCUAUCGCUGCUAAUCUAUCGCUGCUAAUCUAUCGCUGCCAACCUAUCUACCGCGGCGAAUCUAUCUAUCACUAUCAUUACUAGUUCAAAAUAGAACUAGAGCAUAAAUACACUAAACUUCUUUUGAUAGGUAAUGAUUUUUGGUAACGCUCAUAGCAUUAUAUCAUCUAUAUAGGGUAAAUCAUGGUCCCAUUUGGUCCCAUUUUAACAAAAUGGGACCAAAUGGGACCAGAAUCAGUAACUUAUAAGAAGAACAUGACCUGGGACUAGAUUUAUAAUAUAAACAGUGUAAAGUGACUAAUUUAAUAAACACUAUA